Long non-coding RNA from Acromyrmex echinatior (Panamanian leafcutter ant), 540 nucleotides. The record is from RefSeq and is a predicted model, not a curated record. Lineage: Eukaryota; Metazoa; Arthropoda; Insecta; Hymenoptera; Formicidae.
CUCUUGUAGAUAACCGUUUAUCAGCAAAUACCCUACGAUAGCCUCUGCGGUUUCUCUCGUAAAAUUUGGCACAGAUUUCCUACAAUGAUCACACAUCUCUGCGCAGUCGUUUUCUUUCCAAUUUUCUUCAAAGUGAGUCGCUAUUAAACUCCGUCUACAGGAAGUUUCAUCUAAGCAGAGGUUUUUUCACGAGGUAAGAAGACUCAACUGAAAAAAGGUGAAACCAUAGAAUGAUUUCUUCAAGAAGGGUCACUUUUCAUGCGACGCUGAAACGCUUGUUUUCUAACGUCAAAAGGAUCACGUAACCACAAUUAUUGCCAGCGAUGACAACUAAAAUCAAUGAAAAGGGUUUACAGCGUUGAAUUUUGAGCGACAACUUAACCUAUUUUGAAACGAUAGUACAAUAUAUAAGUAGAGUCCCAUUUUAUAAGAGAUGCGCAAAUGGGAUUCGCUUGCUGAAAAUCGAGAAUAUCGGAUCCGCAGCUGAUUGAUUAUCAAUACAAAGCAGCUGGGCCUCUAUUCUGCACUAAAGAUUCUGUA